Molecule: long non-coding RNA, 1370 nt
Filed under: Ursus maritimus (polar bear)
Lineage: Eukaryota; Metazoa; Chordata; Mammalia; Carnivora; Ursidae
Description: lncRNA (ENSUMAG00000024833.1)
Source: RNAcentral
CUGGCCCCAUUCCUCACAUGGGACAGUUACGCUGUGAGAGGAAUAGAGCACUGACGUCACAGAGUUAAACAUGGUUUAAAUUCUGAAACACAUGUGAAUUCUUGUUUCUCAUUUUGUUUUCCUUUCUCUUCCCCUUAGAAGAACCCAUGUCAAAUCUUCCUUCUCCCAUUUCCUGGUUCUGUUUGCACAACAUCCUGUAGCAACAGGAGAGAAUUUCUAAAAUGGAGAACCCCAAACCCUCCCCUGCAAUCCGUCUACCACACGGGACGGUGGCACUUUCUCCGCUGCAUUCCGGUGUGAGCGGGAUGGAAGGCUGCCUCUGGCUCGAACCAUCUGAGGGAACAGUGCAUGAAGGCCCACCGGCCCCUGAGCCCGCGCCCCACCCCAGCUCCAUGCGCUAGAACACUAAAGGUGCUGGUGCCCCGGAGGGUGCAGAGGACCCCGAACUGAGGGUGUAUGGGGUGAGAGACGAUUAAUACACAGGUUUUUUUCUCCUUUCUUAAGCCCACUGAGCAGUAUUUAUUGUUGCCUCCCCUGGGCUCCACUGCUGUCUGCUCAGCUGCUACGUGGGGCUAUGUGGGGAGUUCCAGGCCAGUUCUGUCCGCACUUUCCCCGCAAACAUGGAUACCAGGAGAACCAUCCAGAACAGGCACAGGACGUCUCUGCUGACACCGCAGCUGCUCUGCAAACUCUGAAGCUCCCUGAACUCUUGGCUCUGGACCCCCAGUGUCCCCCUGGUCCUCUCCAUGUAUCUGUCACAUCAGAUGUUCCGUCAGUCAACGCUUCCUGCAAGCAAACCACAGGUAAGACAAGGAUAUAAUGAAAAACAUUUGACCGUUGGUGCAAUUGUACAUUGUGUAAGAAAAGGUUUAAGUGAUAGCCGUUCUGUGUUCUAGCUAAACCACGUGUUACAAAACUGCUUCCAAACGACAUAAGUUGUAGGAUAUUUUAUUUCUUAAAGCGUUAUAAAAAUGUCUCAGUUAGUUGUUGAGAUUUCCAGCUAUUCUGGAGGGAUUAUUUUUUCUAUAGUUGUCAUUACUGAAGUGAUAGGCCAAGUGUGAGCCCUGGUUAGACAGGGGAGCCCCAUAAAAAGUUUUCGGUGGAUUCCCCAUUAAAUUGUCUUUGGUGUAACAACACAUAAAAUGUGAACUAUGUUGUUCAUGGUCCUAGAACAUGUUCACUUUAACAACUGCAUUUAGAUUUUCCCCUGUAAUAUUGUCUGAAAUUCUUGUAUAUUUAAUGUCUAUCUAGUUCACUCAGUCCAAAAAUCAUUUCUCCUAAUAUAUCUGAUCCAUGUGAUCAAUUGAUUUUGUUGAUUGAAUCUAUAUAGUUUUAUAAACAGUCAAGGUUAAUUAAAAGAAAACUUCAAG